UGGGGAUCAUAUUUAGGCAGCCAUUUCCCCACUAUGUUUUGUGGGAUGUUGUUUUUGUGUUGUUGCCUUUGAGCACUUCAUUUACAUCACGUUCGGUGUUUCUUUAUUUUGUAUUGUUCUAAGUUCCACUUCAAUAAAUAUGUGGAACCCAGAUCACGCAGUGCUUUGGUCCGAGUAUGCUUCCAACGAUGAUCGUGACACAUUGUCCAUUUGGAAGACCCAUUUGCAACCAAGCUUUAACUUCCUUACUGAUGUCUUGAGAUGUUGCUUCAAUAUAUCAACAAUUUUCCUUCCUCAUGACGCCAUCUAUUUUGUGAACUGCAUCAGUCCCUCCUGCAGCAAAGCACACCAACAACAUGAUGCUGCCACCCCUGUGCUUCACGGUUGGGAUGGUGUUCUUCGGCUUGCAAGCCUCCCCCUUUUUCCUCCAAACAUAAUGAUGGUCAUUAUGGCCAAACAGUUCUAUUUUUGUUUCAUCAGACCAGAGGACAUUUCUCCAAAAAUUACAAUCUUUGUCCCCAUGUGCAGUUGCAAACCGUAGUCUGGCUUUUUUAUGGCGGUUUUGGAGCAGUGGCUUCUUCCUUGCUGAGAGGCCUUUCAGGUUAUGUUGAUAUAGGACUCGUUUUACUGUGGAUAUAGAUACUUUUGUACCUGUUUCCUCCAGCAUCUUCACAAGGUCCUUUGCUGAUGUUCUGGGAUUGAUGCGCACUUUUCGCACACAAGUACGUUCAUCUCGAGGAGACAGAAUGCGUCUCCUUCCUGAGCGGUAUGAAGGCUGCGUGGUCCCAUGGUGUUUAUACUUGCGUACUAUUGAUUGCACUGAUGAAAGUGGUAUCAGGUGUUUGGAAAUUGCUCCCAAGGAUAAACCAGACUUGUGGAGGUCUACAAUAUUUUUUCUGAAGUCUUGGCUGAUUUCUUUUGAUUUUCCCAUGAGUUUGAAGUUCGAAGGUAGGCCUUGAAAUACAUCUACAGGUACACCUCCAAUAGACUCAAAUUAUGUCAAUUAGCCUAUCAGAAGUUUCUAAAGCCAUGACAUCCUUUCUGGAAUUUUCCAAGCUGUUUAAAGGCACAGUCAAUUUAUUGUAUGUAAACUUCUGACCCACUGGAAUUGUGAUACAGUGAAAUAAUCUGUCUGUAAACAAUUGUUGGAAAAAUUACUUGUGUCAUGCACAAAGUAGAUGUCCUAACCGACUUUCCAGAACUAUAGUUUAUUCACAAGAAAUUUGUGGAGUGGUUGAAAAAUGAGUUUUAAUGACUCAAACCUAAGUGUAUGUAAACUUCCGAGUUCAACAAUAUGUCUCAGUCUGUGAGUCAUGCCGUGGGUAGAGGUCGUUCCCAUGCUGGUUGUGUUGUUUCCCUGCUGGUAGAGGUGGAACUCCACAGAGGUGACUGGAAUGAAGAGGAGGCUUUGGUGUCUGUCUCUACCCUACCGCCUGGUGAGUGAGGUGUCUGUCUCUACCCUACCGCCUGGUGAGUGAGGUUUCUGUCUCUACCCUACCGCCUGGUGAGUGAGGUUUCUGUCUCUACCCUACCGCCUGGUGAGUGAGGUGUCUGUCUCUACCCUACCGCCUGGUGAGUGAGGUGUCUGUCUCUACCCUACCGCCUGGUGAGUGAGGUGUCUGUCUCUACCCUACCGCCUGGUGAGUGAGGUUUCUGUCUCUACCCUACCGCCUGGUGAGUGAGGUGUCUGUCUCUACCCUACCGCCUGGUGAGUGAGGUUUCUGUCUCUACCCUAUCGCCUGGUGAGUGAGGUGUCUGUCUCUACCCUAUCGCCUGGUGAGUGAGGUUUCUGUCUCUACCCUAUCGCCUGGUGAGUGAGGUGUCUGUCUCUACCCUACCGCCUGGUGACUAAGGUCUUCAAUGUGGAACAGAAACAUCACUAAACAAUGUUAGGCCAGGGAUGACCAGGGGUGUCCUGUGUUAUCUAAACAUUGUGUGUGAGUUAUCUGGAUGUUGUGUGUAUCCUCUGUGCUAGACUGUAGGGAAGAGACGUACCCCUGUACCAGGAUGUACUCUGUCCACCGGCCCAUCAAGAGAUGCAUCCACUCCCUCUGCCUUUACAGCCUCCCUCUAUGUGAUCAACAAGGAGAUAUGUGUUAGAACUGUCUGCCAACAGGAUGAGUACCUGAAGGCUGAGCUCUGCAGGGAGCGGUCCGGCUGGCCCAAACGCUUCCAGAGGUCAACCACCAAUAAGAAACGCUGUCACAAUCGCCGCGGCAAUCCCAAAAUCUGGGAAAACAAGGCCUGAUGGGCCCAAGACGGAGGAGUUAGAAGGAGGGGUGGAGGAGGAAGGAGAGGAGGACAGAAAGAGAGAAGGAGGGGUGGAGGAGGAAGGAGAGAAGGAGUAGGAGGGAGGACACCCUUGGAGACAGAACACUGGGUUGUCUCCAUAAAAAGACCCGGAAACACCAUAAAUUCCCCGCUCAACACCUGGUGCUAGCCUGUGCCUUAAUACACAACCACAACCACGCACGCACACACACAAACAAUAUAUAUUUAAAACACAGUCCACGUGACUCCAGUUAAGAGCAGUCUGAGUCAUAUUUUUCAUUUCUUCUAUUGGACCUGUGUUUUAAUAGAACUGUCUGUGAAUAUCAGGGGAGAAAUCACUCCCCACAGAUUGGACCUGUGUUUUAAUAGAACUGUCUGUGAAUAU
This is a long non-coding RNA of Oncorhynchus tshawytscha (Chinook salmon), 2656 nucleotides long. NCBI's taxonomy places the organism in Eukaryota, Metazoa, Chordata, Actinopteri, Salmoniformes, Salmonidae. The record is from Ensembl.